Long non-coding RNA from Gallus gallus (chicken), 1038 nucleotides. The record is from Ensembl. NCBI's taxonomy places the organism in Eukaryota, Metazoa, Chordata, Aves, Galliformes, Phasianidae.
GGCCCUGAUCUGGGCACAUGAGUGCUACUUUGAGCUUUGCAGGACAAGGAAGAGUUCAAGCUUCCUAGUUGCUGAGGCAGAGAGUCUUCCAUAGAACAUAUUGCAAGGCAUAAGCAGGCAGCAGAAGUAGAGGAUCAUAACACAAAUUCUACUAUUUCCUAACAUCUAAGACCUGCAUUUUGCAACUUGAUAGGAUAUUAUUUUAUGUUAGGUGUGAGUUUACACAGUCACUUGUUUUAUUGAAAAACCUUAAUUACGUAAGCAAGAGUUUUCCCACUUAAUGCUAACUUCUGCAUGGGUUAUCUGUGGGAUUGGUACUUUCUGAGAACCAAAUGAUAACUUACAGAAAUCUGAUCUGUAAAAUAGAAUUUUCUUAUGGCUUUUAACAUGUGAGAUUAUGAAGAUGUAUUUGUAUAAUAUAAUUAGAUUUUGUCCUAGUGCAGCAUGUAAUCACUUUUUAAAGGUACAAAACAAAUACUUAGAAAAUAUUGUCUGGAGUCAAUGAAAGAUACACUGCAUUCAUCCUAGUAUAUCUUUACCAAAGACACAAUCUUACCAGAACAGUGUAUCUGAUAUAAACCUUGUCCAGUCUCUCCAAAGACUGAUAAUACUGUUUUGGUAUUGAUAAUGUUGGGGAAGUCAGAUACAAAAUCUCUUGAAAUCCAGAAGAAAACUUUUUCCCCCUUUUGUAUAUAUUACAGCAUUUUUAUUAUUUGUUAUUUUAAAGUGUUUCCUACUUAAAUAAAUGCUGUUGAGAAUGCAGAAAAUGUACAGACACAAAAUCAAUUAUUUUCCAAGCAAUUUUUAAUUAUAUUACUCUUGAAAUGUUAUAUACUUCAAUGCAUUGCUUUUAAUACAAAUCUCUUACUUUAUCCAUAAAAGUCUAAUUUCUGCUUGAUAAACUCUUAAAUUAGUUUCAGAUAAUUGCUUUUUCAACGUCUUCCCACAUACAUCUACUGUCAAAUUUUUACAGCUCACUGAGCCAUUUCAAAUUAUGUCUGCUCUGUCUUGCAAAAUAAAAAUGAGUGAUUAAAGAUG